RNAcentral lists this long non-coding RNA (327 nucleotides) under Ananas comosus (pineapple). RNAcentral describes it as "long non-coding RNA (ACOM_LNC004198)". The record is from RNAcentral. Lineage: Eukaryota; Viridiplantae; Streptophyta; Magnoliopsida; Poales; Bromeliaceae.
AAGAGAUUGGAUUAAAAAAAUAAAAAUAAAAAUAUACAAAAUUUAUCUAAAUUAUAAAUUAUUAUAAAUUAAGCAUCUAGUUUUUUAAAAUUUUAAUUUUGUUAGCCAAUCCUUCAAUAUAUUUAAUUUAAGGCAGUCAAUAAUAUUUUUAUUUUAAAUUUUAAGCUAAUUUCGUUAACAAAUUUAUAAUUGCAAAAUUACAUAAAGUAUAUUAAUUAAAACUAUAAAGAUGAAUGAUGUAUUCAAAUUAUUUUAAAAAAAUAUUAUUUACUGAUUAAAUUGAAAUAAAUUAAAAAAAUAAAUAGUAAAAUUAAAAGAAUGAUAUAU